This is a non-coding RNA of Cinara cedri, 338 nucleotides long. Lineage: Eukaryota; Metazoa; Arthropoda; Insecta; Hemiptera; Aphididae. The record is from the annotation of a GenBank genome assembly.
CUCGUUGGUGCAUUGGUAAGGUCAUUUUUUUGAUUUUCCAAGGGGUUUCCGAAAUAAUUGGGGAAAAUCCGAUAGAAAAUUAUAGGUAAACGGCAAAUAUGUUUACGGCGCUCCGCGGUGGUACUCAAUAUAAUAUUAUAUUCCACCUUUCCGAUUUCCCGUCUAUAUAAAACGGCGAAAUACCAGUAGUUAACAGUUUAUUUCUUAAUAGCGUUGGUAUCGUACAGUUUGUUGACCCAAUAUUUCGUUUUAUUAGUUUUAUUUUCCGAAGUAGGUACGUACUGUGUAAAGUUUUUGUAUAAGUAACAAUUAUAAUAUAGGUAGCGUAAUAUACAUAG